UGGGGAAUAUUGGACAAUGGGGGCAACCCUGAUCCAGCCAUGCCGCGUGUGUGAAGAAGGCCUUUUGGUUGUAAAGCACUUUAAGCAGUGAAGAAGACUCCAUGGUUAAUACCCAUGGACGAUGACAUUAGCUGCAGAAUAAGCACCGGCUAACUCUGUGCCAGCAGCCGCGGUAAUACAGAGGGUGCGAGCGUUAAUCGGAAUUACUGGGCGUAAAGCGAGCGUAGGUGGCGUGAUAAGUCAGAUGUGAAAGCCCCGGGCUUAACCUGGGAACGGCAUCUGAUACUGUUAGGCUAGAGUAGGUGAGAGGAAGGUAGAAUUCCAGGUGUAGCGGUGAAAUGCGUAGAGAUCUGGAGGAAUACCGAUGGCGAAGGCAGCCUUCUGGCAUCAUACUGACACUGAGGUUCGAAAGCGUGGGUAGCAAACA
This 427-nucleotide ribosomal RNA is filed under the name uncultured bacterium. RNAcentral's name for it is "partial 16S ribosomal RNA". It matches the Rfam family "Bacterial small subunit ribosomal RNA", at positions 355 to 774 of the family's 1533-position model. The record is from RNAcentral.